GCGAGAGUGGCGAAACUGGCAGACGCGCUGGAUUUAGGAUCCUGUGCCUUCGGGCGUGGGGGUUCAACUCCCCCCUCUCGCACCU
This 85-nucleotide transfer RNA is filed under the name Planctomycetaceae bacterium. RNAcentral's name for it is "tRNA-Leu". It matches the Rfam family "tRNA". Rfam says of the family: Transfer RNA (tRNA) molecules are approximately 80 nucleotides in length. Their secondary structure includes four short double-helical elements and three loops (D, anti-codon, and T loops). Further hydrogen bonds mediate the characteristic L-shaped molecular structure. tRNAs have two regions of fundamental functional importance: the anti-codon, which is responsible for specific mRNA codon recognition, and the 3' end, to which the tRNAs corresponding amino acid is attached (by aminoacyl-tRNA synthetases). tRNAs cope with the degeneracy of the genetic code in two manners: having more than one tRNA (with a specific anti-codon) for a particular amino acid; and 'wobble' base-pairing, i.e. permitting non-standard base-pairing at the 3rd anti-codon position. Lineage: Bacteria; Pseudomonadati; Planctomycetota; Planctomycetia; Planctomycetales; Planctomycetaceae. The record is from RNAcentral.